This is a long non-coding RNA of Amaranthus tricolor (Joseph's coat), 1923 nucleotides long. RefSeq lists it as uncharacterized. NCBI's taxonomy places the organism in Eukaryota, Viridiplantae, Streptophyta, Magnoliopsida, Caryophyllales, Amaranthaceae. The transcript is spliced from 2 exons. The record is from RefSeq and is a predicted model, not a curated record.
CUAAUCUUAUAAAUCGGUUAACUUUCACCUUUGAUAUCAACUCUCAUCGUUACUAGCAACCCGCUGAGUACCGAACCGCCGCCGGAAAACAACACAUGCUCUUGUUCAGGUGCAAACCAUUGAUUUGUAUCUCUCGUCAUUUUUCUUUACAUUUCAAACUUAUUUAGUUUCAAUCUCAUCUAUUAUAGUUCCGAAAAUUCACAAUGACAUUGUUAAAUCCUUCUUUUAGACGAAAAUUUAUCUGGGUCCUCCAUAAACUAUUCUUUCAUACACCCGCAUCUUCAAAUAUCCUUCCAAAAUCUACGACUGGUGAUGAUCAAACCAUUCUAACAACCUUUAAAACUAAGAAAAUUUAUACCCAAAUCCCAUUUCAAUCUAAUUUCACCAUUAAAUAUCUUACUGAAUCAUGUGGGCUUUCUAUGGAAUCUGCUAUUUUUGCUUCAAAAAAAGUGAAUUUAAAUGAGAAAAACCAAAAACAGUUAGAUUCAAUUUUUUCAUUAUUAAAAUCCCAUAAUUUUUCUGAUACCCAAAUAGCUGAACUCAUUGAAAAGAACCCUCUUGUUCUUCAUUGUAGGGUUGAAACUAAUCUUGAAUGUAAAAUUAGGUUUUUUUGAUGAAUAUGGUAUAAAUAAUUCUCUUCUUCACAAAAUUUUAGUUUCUUCACCUAAAAUUGUGCGUAGAAGCAUAGAUAAACAACUAAAACCAGCAAGUGAAUUACUAAAGGGCUAUGUAACUUCUCCCAAGAAUUUUGAAGUUGUGAUUCGACGUGGUUCUUUGUUACUUACUUGUGAUUGGAAUAAUAUGAGAAAGAAUUUGGAAUACUUGACUGAACAAGGGGUGCCAAAACAUAGAAUUGAGGAUUUGCUUGUUUUGCAACCUAGAGUUAUGCUUCAACACAUUGCUAGGAUGAAGAAUACUUUUAAAAGGAUUAAAGAUAUGGGAAUAAACCCUUCAGAUCUUAGGUUUAUACAUGCUUUUCGUGUAAUGGUACCGCUUAGUGAGUCGAGUUGGAAGAAGAAAGUUGAGAUCUUUCGGAGUAUGGAUGGUCUAGUGAAGAGGUUGUAUCUACUUUUAUUGCUAGUCCACAUUGUUUUGCUUGCUCCAAGAACAAACUUAGGAAUGGUAUGGAUUAUUUUGUUAAUACCGUUAAGAUUGAUCGAGAGGUAAUUAUUCGGUAUCCUAAGUUUUUGAUGUAUUCGAUUGCGAAAAGGGAAAACCCGAGGUUUACUGUUUGGAAAAUUUUGAUGGAGAGAGAACUGAUUCGCGGUAAACAGUUCAUUUGGUUGCUCGAUAUAUCAGAACAUAAUUUCGUUGCGCAGUAUUUUACUAAGUUCUCGAAUACAAUCCCUCAUCUUUGAUAAGUUUAUCUGAGCUGCAAGGAGUCUAUCACACCCGCUUGAAGUUCAGUCUGCAGCUCGGCUCGGUGUGAGUUGCCUGUUGAAGGCCAUGGCCAUUGCUGUUAUAUUUCUUGAUUGUUUUGGAAGUUUCAAAUUGCAGACAUUGUAUCCUACCACUCGUGGGCGUUUUGUAAAGGUUUUCAAAUUUACUGACUCGAUAUUACUCGUGUUGUCGAGACUGUUACCGCAUUUUUUGAUGGAGGCAUUUUUUGCGGUUCGAAUCUGUUCCGUCCUUCGAUUAUUGAUGAUCUUGAUGAUGUGAUGAGAAAUUACCAUGAGCUUAUAUUUCUUAUAGUAUUAUUUAUGGUUUCAGUUGACAAUUUUUAAGGCUUAAGGGACUCCAUUUCAGUCUGAGUUCAUCCAUGUCCUCUUGACAGUUAACUAUGAUGAACCACUUCUAUUUGUAGCAAUUAUUGUUUAUGAAAAAAGAAAUGGACAUAAAAUGCCUCAUUCUAAUGUACAUAGUACUUAUGUAACUUCAUUCUGAACAUGUGUUUUUCAUUAUAAAUUUUCUUUUCCGUCCUAA